Molecule: ribosomal RNA, 253 nt
Filed under: uncultured bacterium
Lineage: Bacteria
Description: partial 16S ribosomal RNA
Rfam family: Bacterial small subunit ribosomal RNA
Source: RNAcentral
UACGUAGGGGGCAAGCGUUGUCCGGAAUCAUUGGGCGUAAAGCGCGUGUAGGCGGUUCGGUAAGUCUGCUGUGAAAGUCCAGGGCUCAACCCUGGGAUGCCGGUGGAUACUGUCGGACUAGAGUACGGAAGAGGCGAGUGGAAUUCCCGGUGUAGCGGUGAAAUGCGCAGAUAUCAGGAGGAACACCGAUGGCGAAGGCAGGUCUCUGGGCAUUAACUGACGCUGAGGAGCGAAAGCAUGGGGAGCGAACAGG